This 467-nucleotide ribosomal RNA is filed under the name uncultured bacterium. RNAcentral's name for it is "partial 16S ribosomal RNA". It matches the Rfam family "Bacterial small subunit ribosomal RNA", at positions 28 to 507 of the family's 1533-position model. The record is from RNAcentral.
GACGAACGCUGGCGGCGUGCUUAACACAUGCAAGUCGAACGGAAAGGCUCCAGCUUGCUGGAGUACUCGAGUGGCGAACGGGUGAGUAACACGUGGGUAAUCUGCCCUGCACUCUGGGAUAAGCCUGGGAAACUGGGUCUAAUACUGGAUAUGACCUUUCUCCUUAUGGGGUUUGGUGGAAAGUUUUUCGGUGUAGGAUGAGCCCGCGGCCUAUCAGCUUGUUGGUGGGGUGAUGGCCUACCAAGGCGACGACGGGUAGCCGGCCUGAGAGGGUGAUCGGCCACAUUGGGACUGAGAUACGGCCCAGACUCCUACGGGAGGCAGCAGUGGGGAAUAUUGCACAAUGGGCGGAAGCCUGAUGCAGCGACGCCGCGUGAGGGAUGGCGGCCUUCGGGUUGUAAACCUCUUUCAGCAGGGACGAAGCGUAAGUGACGGUACCUGCAGAAGAAGCACCGGCUAACUAUGUG